This 439-nucleotide ribosomal RNA is filed under the name uncultured bacterium. RNAcentral describes it as "partial 16S ribosomal RNA". It matches the Rfam family "Bacterial small subunit ribosomal RNA", at positions 339 to 795 of the family's 1533-position model. The record is from RNAcentral.
CUACGGGUGGCUCCAGUGGGGAAUCUUAGACAAUGGGCGCAAGCCUGAUCUAGCCAUGCCGCGUGAGUGAUGAAGGCCUUAGGGUCGUAAAGCUCUUUCGCUGGGGAAGAUAAUGACGGUACCCAGUAAAGAAACCCCGGCUAACUCCGUGCCAGCAGCCGCGGUAAUACGGAGGGGGUUAGCGUUGUUCGGAAUUACUGGGCGUAAAGCGCGCGUAGGCGGACUGUUAAGUCGGGGGUGAAAUCCCGGGGCUCAACCCCGGAACGGCCUUCGAUACUGGCAGUCUGGAGUUCGAGAGAGGUGAGUGGAAUUCCGAGUGUAGAGGUGAAAUUCGUAGAUAUUCGGAGGAACACCAGUGGCGAAGGCGGCUCACUGGCUCGAUACUGACGCUGAGGUGCGAAAGUGUGGGGAGCAAACAGGAUUAGAUACCCUCGUAGUC